GACAGAGGUGCCAAGCGUUAGGCGGAAUCACUGGGCUUAAAGCGUGUGUAGGCGGGCGAUCAAGUACCUUGUGAAAUCCCACGGCUCAACCGUGGAACUGCUCGGUAUACUGCCGGUCUUGAGCCACCUAGGGGCGAGCGGAACAAAUGGUGGAGCGGUGAAAUGCGUAGAUAUCAAGUGGAACACCAGUGGCGAAGGCGAGUCUCUGGACAUUUCCUGACGCUGAGGCACGAAAGCCAGGGGAGCAAACGGG
This 253-nucleotide ribosomal RNA is filed under the name uncultured bacterium. Its description in RNAcentral is "partial 16S ribosomal RNA". It matches the Rfam family "Bacterial small subunit ribosomal RNA", at positions 524 to 776 of the family's 1533-position model. The record is from RNAcentral.